Molecule: ribosomal RNA, 253 nt
Filed under: uncultured bacterium
Lineage: Bacteria
Description: partial 16S ribosomal RNA
Rfam family: Bacterial small subunit ribosomal RNA
Source: RNAcentral
UACGUAGGGGGCUAGCGUUGUCCGGAAUCAUUGGGCGUAAAGCGCGCGUAGGCGGCCAGAUAAGUCCGGUGUGAAAGCCACAGGCUCAACCUGUGAAUGCCGCUGGAAACUGUCUGGCUAGAGUCCGGGAGGGGCGAGUGGAAUUCCUGGUGUAGCGGUGAAAUGCGCAGAAAUCAGGAGGAACACCAAUGGCGAAGGCAGCUCGCUGGAACGGAACUGACGCUGAGGCGCGAAAGCGUGGGGAGCGAACAGG